Triticum aestivum (bread wheat) is the source of this 56-nucleotide non-coding RNA. NCBI's taxonomy places the organism in Eukaryota, Viridiplantae, Streptophyta, Magnoliopsida, Poales, Poaceae. The record is from Rfam.
GCUUAGUUGAUAAAGCACAAGGCUCUUAACCUUGUGGACGUAGAUUCAAGUCCCAU